Long non-coding RNA from Cucurbita maxima (winter squash), 2276 nucleotides. RefSeq lists it as uncharacterized. The record is from RefSeq and is a predicted model, not a curated record. Lineage: Eukaryota; Viridiplantae; Streptophyta; Magnoliopsida; Cucurbitales; Cucurbitaceae. The transcript has 3 exons.
CCUUCAUCGAUUCUCGGAUCGGCCAUCGCCAGCUUAAACCAAAAACUCCAUUUGUUGCUUGAUUAAUUUUUCUGUAAUCUCUCAAAGAUUCCAUGCCGGCAUAGGCAUUCGGCGGCGAUUUCUCCGAUGAAGUGAAACUAAUCGAAGUAAGUUUAUGGUUGCAAAAUCGAUGCAGAAUGUUUGUUACCAUUCGCAUUCAGAUGGAGGAGUUCAUUUGUGUGACUGGAAGGCGGCAGAUUGAUCGAAAUCGGAACUUUCGAGAUAGUUACAGUUUCAUGAACUUUUUCUUGUUCAAUGCUGCAUCUUCCUCGAAUACAUGUGCUUGGUGUUCCUCCGAUUCAACCUGUGCAACACGCAUAGGUUGUAGAAGUACAAUUGAUGGAGCAGUAUGGGUUAACUCUUCUCCUGAAUGGGUGAAGCUUGAAUUAUUGAAAUGGUCACUCGCUUCCUUUGUAAGAUGCUUAAGAAUACCUUUGAAUUGCUGGGUGUCAAGAUUUGACUUCAGUUUCUUUGUCUCAGCCAUCUCCAUGCUAAACUUAGGCCUCUGGCGAUCUGAAAUUUUCUCAUCAAGAAACUGUUUGUGUAGAUUUUCAUGCAUUUGCUUUGAUUGAGGUUCUAGACCCAUUAGCUUUGCAAUCAAAUUUUUGGUAUUAACGUUCUUUGCUGGGUUUGGAGCAGUGUGGUACACCAUUGAAGAUUGGCUAGAGCUUGUGGAUGCAAGAUCUGAAGAUGAGUUUUCCAUACUACUUUCAGGAAAACUGCUUCUUUCAGCCUUGUUUGUUGUAUUUGGAAAGACGAGUUGUCUUGCAAGGCGAUCUCGGAUCAUCUUCUUCAGUUCCUCAGCUCCAUCUCCAUAAGAACAAUCAGCCGAAAGCCGGGGUUUUUGAAAUUCAUUUCGGCCAAUUGUUCUUCUUUCUAUCCGUUCAUUUUUCUUCUCCUGAGUCAUAUACCUUGAAGCUUCCUGCAGUUUACCUAGAAUAACCAAGGACUGCUGCAAAUCAAGAGCUCCUAAAAAUAAAUCUCUUGCAAUUUGGUCAGACUGUCCAUCACAUUUCAUCUCGUUAGACCACCGAUCAAUUGUCCGAUUCAGCUUCUGAGUUCCUCUCGACACUUUCAUGAGUUGAGAUGAGGAUGAACUACUGAACUCAUCUCCUACUUCUUUGAUGGUUGUUUGCUGUCUUCGUAACUUACAGUCCGAAAAUUCGUAAAAAUUCUUCCUAGCUGUCCGACUUUUGAUCGGCUUCUCCAUUUUUGAUGAAGCAACUCUCCUUCUCCUGACAGUGUUCUUAUCAACUAUGCCUUUUGGAUCAUUACAAGUUAGAAACGAGUUGUAAAUUCUUGAUCUUAGCUUGUCCUGAGGCAUAUCUUAUUGAUUGAGAUCGCAUGUACAUUGCAAAGCGGACUCAGAUGCUAACAUUACUGAUAUUGCACGAACCAUUUCCAAGAACUCCUACACAUAACUCUCGCAUGGUUUUGGAUAUCAUAAUAGUAAUUUCAGGCUCUGUGAGAAAGUUUUAACCUGUUUGCCUCUGUACAUAAGAAAAAUCCAGGAAAAUGAAGCAGAAGUGUUGAACCAAAAUAAAGAAGAAAAGAAGCUGAAAAGCGGUAACCUUAAGGAUAUGGAGUGGCGGCAAAGCUCUUGAUCGAUCAAUGCGAGUGAACUGUGCUUAGACGCUUCGUAGAACCGCACCAAUAGAGAGGAGCUGAUGGAUGUGUAGACUCAAUUGAAGGCAUUAGAAAGAAGAGGAAAAGGCAAUAAACAAAGACUGACCAACAUCACAAAGAAGUUUCAGAGCGUCGAACCGGAAGAAGCGAAUCGAACCCGAGCAGAACAGUUGCUGGCUUUGACAUAUGGAGAAAGAAAGAACAGUAAGUUCUGGUGCUUUUUUCUCUUAGUUUUCUGAGGAUUCUUAGAGAAACAUGAAAGUGCCAUUAAUGGCUGCUCUUGAUUUGGGUCGUAGCCAUUUCAAGAGUACUGUUGAAGCAAGCCCUGUAACGAGUAAAAGCAUGAAAAAGCUGAAGCUUCACACAAGGGAAACUGCCUUCAACUAGGUUAGUUGAAUUUAUUCAUUACAUUACUGUUUCUUACAUAUCUGCCUUGGAAUGUUUGGGCCAUUUGUAGCCAACAGCUACUUUAGGGAUCUCCAAAUAGAAAACCAAUAAUUUCAUGGUUUGCUCUCAUUCCAGCAAUGUGUAAUAAGAGAAGAAACUUUUUAAUUCUCUCCCAAUUAAUGAUUCAUGUGCAUAUUGAAUUAAAGAGAAUCAUUCCUUCUUUA